CUCAACCUGGGAACUGCGGCCGAUACUGCCUUGCUUGAGUGUGAGAGGGGAGAGUGGAACUUCCAGUGGAGCGGUGAAAUGCGUAGAUAUUGGAAGGAACGCCGGUGGCGAAAGCGACUCUCUGGCUCAUUACUGACGCUGAGGAGCGAAAGCUAGGGUAGCGAACGGGAUUAGAUACCCCGGUAGUCCUAGCCGUAAACGAUGGGCACUAGGUGGAGGGGAUCCCAUAUCCUCUCUUCCGAAGCUAAUGUGUUAAGUGCCCCGCCUGGGGAGUAUGGUCGCAAGGCUGAAACUCAAAGGAAUUGACGGGGGCUCGCACAAGCGGUGGAGGAUGUUGCUUAAUUCGAAGCAACGCGAAGAACCUUACCUGGGUUGAACUACGUGCUUACAUCCCUGUGAAAGCAGGGUGCCUUCGGGGUGCA
This 422-nucleotide ribosomal RNA is filed under the name uncultured bacterium. RNAcentral describes it as "bacterial SSU rRNA". It matches the Rfam family "Bacterial small subunit ribosomal RNA", at positions 608 to 1030 of the family's 1533-position model. The record is from RNAcentral.